Erinaceus europaeus (western European hedgehog) is the source of this 106-nucleotide non-coding RNA. Lineage: Eukaryota; Metazoa; Chordata; Mammalia; Eulipotyphla; Erinaceidae. The record is from Rfam.
GUGCUUGCUUCAACAGCACAUAUGCUAAAACUGGGAGGAUGCAGAGAAAUUAGCACGGCCCCUGUGCAAGGAGGACACACAGAUCUGGGCAGUGUUCCAUUUUUUU